This is a long non-coding RNA of Scatophagus argus, 512 nucleotides long. RefSeq lists it as uncharacterized. The transcript has 4 exons. The record is from RefSeq and is a predicted model, not a curated record. Lineage: Eukaryota; Metazoa; Chordata; Actinopteri; Scatophagidae.
UGGUGAGCCUUCUGCUUCUUGACAAACAAUACGAGAAGACCCCAAAAGCAGAAGAGGAGCCGCCACUCGUGCUGGCUGGCCUUGGAGAACGUUCACGAACCAGAGGGAUGCUAGCAUUCGUUUACUGCCUUGUGUCAAGUCAUGUUUAAAGAGAAAAACACUCAGCUCAUAGCUCAUAAACAUAAGCUUUAACCAAACUUUAGUCUCUUUAAGUUUUCAGAUUGGCUUGUGAGUGAAUAUCCCAGACUGGCUGAUACGUGUGGUGGCUGGAUGCUGCACAGGUCCACAGAGAUGGAAAGCAGACUCUUUGUUGGAAGGGAGGAAUCCUGAUUAUUGUGUCAACAGUCUGGACUCUAACUGCUUCAGGUUUACCACUGAGUCAACCCGACGCUCGACCAGCUCAGAGAAGUCCUGCAUGAUGAAGACUUCUGCCUGCCCCUGUGUGUUCCAGGGGGAGAUGAGGAGGCAGAUGUGAACCUGGUCCUGGAGAGGAGCCGCCCUGCCUUCAGUGG